RNAcentral lists this ribosomal RNA (252 nucleotides) under uncultured bacterium. RNAcentral's name for it is "partial 16S ribosomal RNA". It matches the Rfam family "Bacterial small subunit ribosomal RNA", at positions 525 to 776 of the family's 1533-position model. The record is from RNAcentral.
ACGGAGGGUGCGAGCGUUAAUCGGAAUGACUGGGCGUAAAGCGCGCGUAGGUGGUUAGUUAAGUUGGAUGUGAAAGCCCAGGGCUCAACCUUGGAAUUGCAUCCAAAACUGAUUGACUAGAGUACAAUAGAGGGGGGUAGAAUUUCAGGUGUAGCGGUGAAAUGCGUAGAGAUCUGAAGGAAUACCAGUGGCGAAGGCGGCCCCCUGGAUUGAUACUGACACUGAAGUGCGAAAGCGUGGGUAGCAAACAGG